GACGAUAAAUAAAAGCUAACUAGUUAAAAACUAAAUGAAUGAUAAACUAAAAAAUAGUAAAGGUCUAAUUUAUUUAAUCCCAGAUCCUAAAUUAUCUUAUAUAUCAUGAAAUCAUAAACUAAAACACGGAUUAGAUACCCGUCUAUUUAUGAAGUAAAAAAGUUGAACAAUACGAACCACAGUUUAAAAUUCAAAGACUUUGGCGGUGUCUUAUCAAUCCAGGGGAACCUGUCUCAUAACUCGAUAAUCCACGUCUACCUAACCUUAUUUAGAACCCUCAGCUUGUGUACUGCCGUCGUAAGCACACCUUAGAAAGACUUAAGUGUGCCGGUAUGAUUAUUUCACUCACGUCAGGUCAAAGUGCAGCCAAUAAUAAGGUGAUGAUGGGUUACAACCUGAAAAAAGAAUACGGAUAAGAACAAUUAAUAAUUCUUUAAAGGUGGACUUGGAUGUAAUAUUAAGAAAACUAUAAUGAAAAUGAAUCUAAGACAUGUACACAUCGCCCGUCACUCUCGCCAAAAGGUGAG
RNAcentral lists this ribosomal RNA (527 nucleotides) under Carpetania matritensis. RNAcentral describes it as "partial small subunit ribosomal RNA". The record is from RNAcentral. Lineage: Eukaryota; Metazoa; Annelida; Clitellata; Crassiclitellata; Hormogastridae.